UGCUUAACACAUGCAAGUCGAACGGAGAUUUAGAAGAGCUUGCUCUUCGAAGAUCUUAGUGGCGGACGGGUGAGUAACGCGUGGGUAACCUGCCCUUAAGAGGGGGAUAACACCGCGAAAGUGGUGCUAAUACCGCAUGACACUAUUAAGUUGCAUGACUUGAUAGUCAAAGGAGUAAUCCGCUUAAGGAUGGACCCGCGUCUGAUUAGCUAGUUGGUAGGGUAACGGCCUACCAAGGCGACGAUCUGUAGCUGGUCUGAGAGGACGACCAGCCACACUGGGACUGAGACACGGCCCAGACUCCUACGGGAGGCAGCAGUGGGGAAUUUUGGACAAUGGGCGCAAGCCUGAUCCAGCCAUUCCGCGUGCAGGAUGAAGGCCCUCGGGUUGUAAACUGCUUUUGUACGGAACGAAAAGGCGCGGGUUAAUACCCUGUGCUGAUGACGGUACCGUAAGAAUAAGCACCGGCUA
Molecule: ribosomal RNA, 471 nt
Filed under: uncultured bacterium
Lineage: Bacteria
Description: bacterial SSU rRNA
Rfam family: Bacterial small subunit ribosomal RNA
Source: RNAcentral